AUUGAACGCUGGCGGCAGGCCUAACACAUGCAAGUCGAGCGGAUGAAGGGAGCUUGCUCCUGGAUUCAGCGGCGGACGGGUGAGUAAUGCCUAGGAAUCUGCCUGGUAGUGGGGGAUAACGUCCGGAAACGGGCGCUAAUACCGCAUACGUCCUGAGGGAGAAAGUGGGGGAUCUUCGGACCUCACGCUAUCAGAUGAGCCUAGGUCGGAUUAGCUAGUUGGUGGGGUAAAGGCCUACCAAGGCGGCGAUCCGUAACUGGUCUGAGAGGAUGAUCAGUCACACUGGAACUGAGACACGGUCCAGACUCCUACGGGAGGCAGCAGUGGGGAAUAUUGGACAAUGGGCGAAAGCCUGUUCCAGCCAUGCCGCGUGUGUGAAGAAGGUCUUCGGAUUGUAAAGCACUUUAAGUUGGGAGGAAGGGCAGUAAGUUAAUACCUUGCUGUUUUGACGUUACCAACAGAAUAAGCACCGGCUAACUUCGUG
This 484-nucleotide ribosomal RNA is filed under the name uncultured bacterium. RNAcentral's name for it is "partial 16S ribosomal RNA". It matches the Rfam family "Bacterial small subunit ribosomal RNA", at positions 30 to 507 of the family's 1533-position model. The record is from RNAcentral.